GCUGCUAUGGCUCAGUUGGUAGAGCACAUGCUUGGUAAGCAUGAGGUCAUCAGUUCGACUCUGAUUAGCAGCUCCA
Molecule: transfer RNA, 76 nt
Filed under: Clostridia bacterium
Lineage: Bacteria; Bacillati; Bacillota; Clostridia
Also listed under: 1 other name
Description: tRNA-Thr
Rfam family: tRNA
About the family: Transfer RNA (tRNA) molecules are approximately 80 nucleotides in length. Their secondary structure includes four short double-helical elements and three loops (D, anti-codon, and T loops).
Source: RNAcentral